RNAcentral lists this ribosomal RNA (465 nucleotides) under uncultured bacterium. Its description in RNAcentral is "bacterial SSU rRNA". It matches the Rfam family "Bacterial small subunit ribosomal RNA", at positions 28 to 501 of the family's 1533-position model. The record is from RNAcentral.
GAUGAACGCUGGCGGCGUGCUUAACACAUGCAAGUCGAACGGGAUCCCAGGAGCUUGCUCCUGGGUGAGAGUGGCGAACGGGUGAGUAAUGCGUGACCGACCUGCCCCAUACACCGGAAUAGCUCCUGGAAACGGGUGGUAAUGCCGGAUGCUCCAGUUGACCGCAUGGUCCUCUGGGAAAGCUUUUGCGGUAUGGGAUGGGGUCGCGUCCUAUCAGCUUGAUGGCGGGGUAACGGCCCACCAUGGCUUCGACGGGUAGCCGGCCUGAGAGGGCGACCGGCCACAUUGGGACUGAGAUACGGCCCAGACUCCUACGGGAGGCAGCAGUGGGGAAUAUUGCACAAUGGGCGCAAGCCUGAUGCAGCGACGCCGCGUGCGGGAUGACGGCCUUCGGGUUGUAAACCGCUUUUGACUGGGAGCAAGCCCUUCGGGGUGAGUGUACCUUUCGAAUAAGCACCGGCUAAC